GACGAACGCUGGCGGCGUGCUUAACACAUGCAAGUCGAACGAUGAACCCGGAGCUUGCUCUGGGGGAUUAGUGGCGAACGGGUGAGUAACACGUGAGUAACCUGCCCUGGACUCUGGGAUAAGCGUUGGAAACGACGUCUAAUACCGGAUAGGACCUUGGAUCGCAUGAUCUGGGGUGGAAAGUUUUUUCGGUCUGGGAUGGACUCGCGGCCUAUCAGCUUGUUGGUGAGGUAAUGGCUCACCAAGGCGUCGACGGGUAGCCGGCCUGAGAGGGUGACCGGCCACACUGGGACUGAGACACGGCCCAGACUCCUACGGGAGGCAGCAGUGGGGAAUAUUGCUCAAUGGGCGAAAGCCUGAUGCAGCAACGCCGCGUGCGGGAUGACGGCCGUCGGGUUGUAAACCGCUUUUAGUAGGGAAGAAGGGCUUCGGCUUGACGGUACCUGCAGAAAAAGGACCGGCUAACUACGUG
This 472-nucleotide ribosomal RNA is filed under the name uncultured bacterium. Its description in RNAcentral is "partial 16S ribosomal RNA". It matches the Rfam family "Bacterial small subunit ribosomal RNA", at positions 28 to 507 of the family's 1533-position model. The record is from RNAcentral.